CCUGAUCCCAAGGCAUUGCCCACUCUGACACUCACGGCCACGCUGAAGCCCAGAGGCACCUGAGUAGCAGCAGAUAAAGAAGAGCUCCAGCAGACCUGCUGGCAGGCACCUAUCCCUUGCUGCAGAUAUGGACCAGACCCCCCCAGGCUUGAUCUUUCCAUGCUGAUUGGCUGGGGACAGCAGGUUGCUGCACAUGGUACCCAAGGUAAACCCCACAACCCAAAGCAAAGCCCUCCACACAGGGAGAGGCUGUCACCACCUCUGCUCACACUUACACCAUGCCCAGCUUCAGUGCAUAUAGGAAGACGGCGUUCAUGGCCACAUUGAGGAUGUUGGCUGCAACUCCUGUCACUAUCUGAGGCAAAAUGAUUGCCUGGAAGAUAAGGAGAGACUUUAGACUUUGCUUCUCCGGCAAUGCCCAGGAUCCCAAGCCUGCAGCCAUGACCCAAGCUACCAUCCAGCAAACACUGGGAAGACCUUCAGCAGUGUCUGAGGAGAAAGCCAAGAAAGUGGCUCCUGUUUCAGGUAAGAUCAGAUUGUAUUAGACAUGCAUUAGACAGUGUGCAGGGCUCAACAGCUGGUACAGUCAGCUCAGUGCAGAGUUCAGAGGUAGAAGCAAGAGAAUGGAGCAACCCAAAGGCGAUUCCCACGAGCUCCUCCUGUCCUGCAGAGCCAGCUGGAGGCUGUGGAUCUCGCAUUCCUCAUCCCAGCUCUCCCCAGGACAGGAUGAACUUAGAUCUCCAGCCUUAUCCACGUCCCUAGGAACUGGCCCACAGCCCGGUUACACAAUACCUGACUUAGUAAAUAUCUUGUCUGCAGCUGGUACAGAAACGCCGCCUGCAAGAGUCAGAAUUCACCUGGUCAGCACUGCUGUACUACGGUUCAGUGGCCAGCUACAGUUUAACACCUACAGAGAGGUACUUCCCACUGCUCUUGCACAGCUGUGUCAGGGUGCCACAGCACAGCAUGCUGCCCACGCUCCCGUGCCUGUGCUUGAUUUUAACCUUGGAGUACAGCUUCAGCUUAGAGGAGCUUCUCCAGAGAGGCAGAUAACAGCUGAGAGCUCAGUGGCUGCAUGCAUGUGAGCUGCAGCCUUUAUCACAGAGCUGACUGAGCUUUGCAGCACUCAGUUCCAAUGUCCACAGCUUGUAACUUGUUGUGCAGAGACGUGGCCUGCAGUAAAAGCCUCUGCACACUAAUAUGAAGGAAUGCAUGUUUGCUGGUCCAGCAGCUGCUGGCCAGUGCACAUCCAUUAAGGCUUAAGAGGCUCCAAAUCAUGCUGCCUUGUGAUCUACAGAGCAAGGGCCCUUCCUCCUUUCCCCAUUUGUUACUAAGCUUCUAAGAGCUUCAGCAGCAACUUACAGGAAGAGCUGGAAUGAAGAUCAUCACGUAGACCUGUGUUAACCUGGAAAGAGAGAUGUUCAGCCAGUUAGUGAGGCAGGAAAGCAAGAGCCAAACCAAGCAGAGUUGUAUUUGAGCUCCACAGAGCCUUGAUUUCAACACUAUGCAGCAACCCAGCCACAGCCAAACACCCAAUGCAGAUAGGCCUGACCUUCAGGGCCUGCAGGGCUGAUGUGCUGCUGGUAAGAGAGGGGUCACACUCAACCUUGCUCUGACCUGGAGACCUCAGGGUCCUGCCGGAGGAGCAGGAGGAUCUGCUCAGUGUUGAUGAAGAUCGCCCAGCAAGGGAAGCAAAACAGCAUCAGGAUGAGGAUCCCUCGCUGCAGGAUGGUGCCCACUUGCUUCAGGUUUUUGCUGCCAUAUGUCUACGUGAGGACAGAGAACCAAACAGUGGCCACCACCAGGCUGGUUGGGUUUAUCUGGCUCUCAGGUGGAUUGUGCUUCCUUCUGCUACCCAUCCUCCCACCUUUUGUGUCUCAAUCCACACUGCACAGGAGGUGAGACACUGCCAACCCAACAAGGAACGGGGAGCUGCCACCAACCUGGGACAUCAGUGUGUCACAUGCUGAAGCCAGACCAGAACCAACGGAGAUGCCGAUCACAUUGAUGACCUGGAGGAGACACAAGUGAGUUGGGUAAGUGAGAAUCACAGGGAACGUGGCCCAAAGCACCACGUCCCUCCCAGCUGGGAACAGAGACCGUCCUGCUGUGAGAUAUUUGGGAAGCUUCCAGACUUUCUCUGUUUUUCACAGUAAUACCUUCGCAUGACCUAAAUAGUCCACUCCCUGUUAUGAUGUGAAAAGGAACAUCUAGCAAGGGAUGAACAGCUAAAGGGCUGCAAACAGUGCAGCUCCCCACCACACACACAAGUAGGUCUUGCUGGCCUUGCACAGCUCACAUCUCCUGCCUCUGCUCAGGGCAAAGGAAGGAAUGAUUUGGUGGAUGCAAUCUUCGUGUUGCAUCAAGGCUGUGAGCAAUGAACCCUCAGAUCAGCAUUCCUACAGGGCUUUUUUUCCCCCCCUUCUUCUUUUCUAUUCCCCUUUUUUUGAUGUCUCACCAUUUUCAUGUUUCAAAGCAGAGCAAUACGUACAGACACAGCCAGAGUCACAGCAUCAAGCUCAGCCUUCCCCAGAUGGCCGCAGAAUAUGGAGCUGAUGACACUGAUCAGGAAGCCCAGCAGCUGGGCUACAAACUAGAAUGGGAAGAGGAGAUGGAGAAGUGAGCACCAUGGGCACAGAGGAGCACUGCCCUUCCCCUGCAGCUGGGCCACGACCAGUUGGGUUUGAACCAACUGCAAGCUUCCUCAAGGCUGCUGGUGGCUUUGUCCUUAAACCCCAGUGGUAUUGUGGUGUUACAAAGCCUAUCUGCUACAUGUCCUUGUUUAGCUGAGGCUUAAUGGCUCCCCUGGAAAGUUUCUUUUCUGUCACAGAAGCUGAGUAGAGAAGGAAAAUGACAACUCCCAAUGCUUUCUUGCACUUCCAUGCAUCUAGGGAAAGCUCAGCUCCACAGAAUACAGUGUCCUCUCCUGCACCUUCCUCUCCAGCAAGGAGUGGUGAUGCUGUCACAGACAAUGAGCUCAGCACCUCAUUUUUCCUUGGCAAGAGGUCAACCCCAAUGCAGCAUGGAACUGCUGGAUGGCUCCAGAGCUGCUGGAGAACUGGCUCCUGUGAGCCCUGAGGAAGAACCAAACCAACCUGCGGAUGCUGCACUGUCUCAGGCCUCAGCACGUCCAAGCAGCUGUGAGUAAUCCCUGCAGCAGAGCUCUGUACCUCUGUGACUGCUCCAGCGCAGGGCUGGACAUGAGAGCUACAGCUGGCAAACAGCACUAGGUUUGCUUUGAGGUUCUCUGUGCCCACCAAGCAGGGGAUGGAGGCACGGAACGGAAACCGCUGUGACUUCCUCUGCUGCACCGUCGGGUCGGGGCCACGUGAAUGUCAGCGAGGACAUCUCCCCGUUUGGUCCUCGUCUAACGGUAGGGCUGGAGGGCUCGGGACACGCAGCAUCGGGCCAGCAGCAAGGCCGGGGCUCCCAGCGCACUGCCGGGGGGGGAAGCCGGCUGGAAGGGAACCCCCCGCGGCUGGAUGACGGCUAAGGGAUGAGCCGCAUCGCUUUGACUCCAUCCGAGCCCCGUGUUGGCAGGCGGCACCGAAGCGGCUCUCGGCAGCGCCGGUUCCGCUUAAAGCUCCGUUCGGGCCCUCCCGCACCCCGCGCCGAUCCCCGCCCCGCAGCCCCGGCUCUCACCACCG
Non-coding RNA from Coturnix japonica (Japanese quail), 3647 nucleotides. Lineage: Eukaryota; Metazoa; Chordata; Aves; Galliformes; Phasianidae. The record is from RefSeq and is a predicted model, not a curated record.